Molecule: long non-coding RNA, 219 nt
Organism: Suncus etruscus (white-toothed pygmy shrew)
Lineage: Eukaryota; Metazoa; Chordata; Mammalia; Eulipotyphla; Soricidae
Exons: 2
Source: RefSeq, a predicted model, not a curated record
ACUUUACUCACAAAAACAAAAAGGCUGAUGUCAAAUAUGUCCUCUUUCCCUACUUAAUGGAUUUGGUUACUUCAUCUCUUGUCUUCAAGCCUGGGAUUCCAUUUUUGAUAAAGGUACAAGUAAAGAAUGUGGUCAGCCAUGCUGUUAAAGGGAUUGCUGUAAUGUUGAAAGCAAAAGCAGUUCAGGAAGCAACAAAGACAGACCUGGAUGUAAGACGAA